This 696-nucleotide ribosomal RNA is filed under the name uncultured bacterium. Its description in RNAcentral is "bacterial SSU rRNA". It matches the Rfam family "Bacterial small subunit ribosomal RNA", at positions 73 to 801 of the family's 1533-position model. The record is from RNAcentral.
AGGGGAGCAAUCCCUGAGUACAGUGGCGUACGGGUGAGUAACACGUGGAUGAUCUACCCAAUGGUGAGGAAUAACCCUGGGAAACCGGGGCUAAUACCGCAUAAGCCCGAGAGGGGAAAGUCGCAAGACGCCGAUGGAGGAGUCCGCGGCCGAUUAGCUAGUUGGCAGGGUAAAAGCCUACCAAGGCAAAGAUCGGUAGCCGGCCUGAGAGGGCACACGGCCACACUGGCACUGAAACACGGGCCAGACUCCUACGGGAGGCAGCAGUGGGGAAUCUUGCACGAUGGGGGAAACCCUGAUGCAGCGACGCCGCGUGAGCGAUGAAGCCCUUCGGGGUGUAAAGCUCUUUCGGCAGGGAAGAUGAUGACGGUACCUGCAGAAGCAGCUGCGGCUAACUACGUGCCAGCAGCCGCGGUAAUACGUAGGCAGCAAGCGUUGUUCGGAAUUACUGGGCGUAAAGGGUGUGUAGGCGGUUGUUUAAGUUUGGUGUGAAAUCUCCCGGCUCAACUGGGAGGGUGCGCCGAAUACUGAAUGACUCGAGUGCGGGAGAGGAGAGUGGAAUUCCUGGUGUAGCGGUGAAAUGCGUAGAUAUCAGGAGGAACACCGGUGGUGUAGACGGCUCUCUGGACCGUAACUGACGCUGAGACACGAAAGCGUGGGUAGCAAACAGGAAUAGAUACCCUGGUAGUCCACGCC